AUUGAACGCUGGCGGCAGGCCUAACACAUGCAAGUCGAACGAGUGGCGGACGGGUGAGUAAUGUCUGGGAAACUGCCCGAUGGAGGGGGAUAACUACUGGAACCGGUAGCUAAUACCGCAUACCAUCGGAUGUGCCCAGUUUGGAUUAGCUAGUAGGUGGGGUAAAGGCUAACCUAGGCGACGAUCUCUGGCUGGUCUGAGAGGAUGAUCAGCAACACUGGGACUGACACACGGGCCAGACUCCUACGUGAGGCAGCAGUGGAGAAUAUUGGACAAUGGGCGAAAGCCUGAUCCAGCCAUGCCGCGUGUGUGAAGAAGGGCUUCGGAUUGUACAGCACUUUAAGAUGGGAGGCGUUACCAACAGAAUAAGCACAGACUAUCUUCGUGCCAGCAGCCGCGGUAAUAC
RNAcentral lists this ribosomal RNA (406 nucleotides) under uncultured bacterium. Its description in RNAcentral is "partial 16S ribosomal RNA". It matches the Rfam family "Bacterial small subunit ribosomal RNA", at positions 30 to 526 of the family's 1533-position model. The record is from RNAcentral.